AAAUAGAUACCCAGGUAGUCCACGCCGUAAACGAUGAGUGCUAAGUGUUAGAGGGUUUCCGCCCUUUAGUGCUGAAGUUAACGCAUUAAGCACUCCGCCUGGGGAGUACGGCCGCAAGGCUGAAACUCAAAGGAAUUGACGGGGGCCCGCACAAGCGGUGGAGCAUGUGGUUUAAUUCGAAGCAACGCGAAGAACCUUACCAGGUCUUGACAUCCUCUGACAACCCUAGAGAUAGGGCUUCUCCUUCGGGAGCAAAGUGACAGGUGGUGCAUGGUUGUCGUCAGCUCGUGUCGUGAGAUGUUGGGUUAAGUCCCGCAACGAGCGCAACCCUUGAUCUUAGUUGCCAUCAUUAAGUUGGGCACUCUAAGGUGACUGCCGGUGACAAACCGGAGGAAGGUGGGGAUGACGUCAAAUCAUCAUGCCCCUUAUGACCUGGGCUACACACGUGCUACAAUGGACGGUACAAAGAGCUGCAAGACCGCGAGGUGGAGCUAAUCUCAUAAAACCGUUCUCAGUUCGGAUUGUAGGCUGCAAC
RNAcentral lists this ribosomal RNA (535 nucleotides) under uncultured bacterium. Its description in RNAcentral is "bacterial SSU rRNA". It matches the Rfam family "Bacterial small subunit ribosomal RNA", at positions 776 to 1311 of the family's 1533-position model. The record is from RNAcentral.